CCUGCACCCCAGGCCCCAGACAGUAACCUGUGCGCCCUGGGGACAUGCACUGCACUGGCAGCCAAGGAGAUGCGCUGGCAGGCAGCUUGGGAAGAGAGAUGUUCUUCCUGGAUUCUUCUAUCAAUUCAACCUGGACCAACUGCUCUCCAGGCCAACUGCACAGCUGAUACCUUAGGACAAAUCUUAACACUCUCUUGCUUUGCCACUUCUAUAUACUUACCCUUUGUCUUCCUCUUUCUUGGUCACCCCAUUGUUCUGCUGGGACUAAACUCUGUAAUAACUUCUUAAGAAGUGGUAUAUGAAAAGGAAAACCUUUGAGACUAUUUUACUGUCAAGUCUUGUUGGGUUUUCUGUGUCCACUGCUGUAUGUCAAUGCUAAAAAGUUUGAUGCCAUUCUGAGUCCUACUCAUCAUUGCAGUAUGUCAAAACAUUUACGUUGCUUUUAAAAUAGUUUUUUUUUUAAGUUUAUAUUUACUUUGAGAGAGAGAGAGAGCACAUGUGAGUCAGGGAGGGGCAGAGAGAGAGAGAGGGAGAGAGAGAAUCCUAAGCAGGCUCUAGACAGUCAGCGUGGAGCCCCAUACAGGGCUCAAACCUUCUCUGUGGGAUCAUGUGGGAACUGUGAGAUCAUGACAUGAGCUGAAAUCAAGAAUCAAACACUUAAGUGACUGAGCCACCCAGGCACCCCAAAACAUUUAGAUUGCUUUUUAUUAAUCACUGCUAUUCUGAAAUGUCACCAUGAUUUCCCCUGGUGUAGGUCAUUUUUUUAUUCUUUGUGUUGAAUGCUAGGUGGGAUCUUUCAGUAUGGAGCUACACGUAUUUUAGUUCUGGAAAUUUUUCUUGUAUUAGUUGUUUGAUAAGUUUCUCCUGCAAUUUUGCUGUUUUCUUUUCCUGGAUUGUCAUCAGAAAAAUCAUUGUGAUGGGGUGCCUGGGUGGCUCAGUUGGUUAAGCAUCCGACUCUUGAUCUCUCAGCUCAGGGUCUUGAUCUUAGGGUCUUGAGUUCAAGCCCCAGGUUGGGGUCCACACUGGGCAUGGAGCCUACUCUAAAAAGAAAGAGAGAAAUCAUCUUGAUCCAAUCUCCACAAAUUAUACACAAGGUUUCAUGCAACAUAAAGCAGCAUUUUGUCAAAUUGAUCUGGAAAUGUGUGCAAAGGGUUUGCAUGAAUGGGUUGAAGACACAAGUGAGAGGAUGUGAGAUGGAGGGAUGCAGAAGAUGAUGAGGAGAGUGAAACAGUGUUUCAAACUUUCUUAUGCUAGAGUUAUGGUUUAAGAUGGACUUUGAAAUAAACACAGAUACCACACACAUAUCAUUUUUCAUCGUAAUAACUCAGUAGAACUAAAAUGAAGUUUUGCUGAACAUUUAACAUAUGCAAGGUUUAUCACCUAUGGUAGGAGGGUCCAAACACUACUGUCCAAUAUGGCAGCCAUCAGCUACAUGUGGCUACUGAACACUUGAAAUGUGGCUAGUGUGAAUUGUGAAAUACACACCAGAUUUCAAAGACUUAACACAAAUAAAUGUGAACUAUCUCAUUAAUAAUUUUUAUAUUGUUUACAUGUUGAAAUGAUAUUUUGGAUAUAUGAGGUUCAAUAAAAUGUAUGAUAAAAAUUA
Long non-coding RNA from Neofelis nebulosa (Clouded leopard), 1606 nucleotides. RefSeq lists it as uncharacterized. The record is from RefSeq and is a predicted model, not a curated record. The transcript is spliced from 2 exons. Lineage: Eukaryota; Metazoa; Chordata; Mammalia; Carnivora; Felidae.